Molecule: ribosomal RNA, 2923 nt
Filed under: Klebsiella pneumoniae
Lineage: Bacteria; Pseudomonadati; Pseudomonadota; Gammaproteobacteria; Enterobacterales; Enterobacteriaceae
Description: 23S ribosomal RNA
Rfam family: Bacterial large subunit ribosomal RNA
Source: RNAcentral
GGGUUGUGAGGUUAAGCGACUAAGCGUACACGGUGGAUGCCCUGGCAGUCAGAGGCGAUGAAGGACGUGCUAAUCUGCGAAAAGCGUCGGUAAGGUGAUAUGAACCGUUAUAACCGGCGAUGUCCGAAUGGGGAAACCCAGUGCAAUUCGUUGCACUAUCGUUAACUGAAUACAUAGGUUAACGAGGCGAACCGGGGGAACUGAAACAUCUAAGUACCCCGAGGAAAAGAAAUCAACCGAGAUUCCCCCAGUAGCGGCGAGCGAACGGGGAGCAGCCCAGAGUCUGAAUCAGCUUGUGUGUUAGUGGAACGGUCUGGAAAGUCCGACGGUACAGGGUGAUAGUCCCGUACACCAAAAUGCACAGGUUGUGAACUCGAAGAGUAGGGCGGGACACGUGGUAUCCUGUCUGAAUAUGGGGGGACCAUCCUCCAAGGCUAAAUACUCCUGACUGACCGAUAGUGAACCAGUACCGUGAGGGAAAGGCGAAAAGAACCCCGGCGAGGGGAGUGAAAAAGAACCUGAAACCGUGUACGUACAAGCAGUGGGAGCACCUUCGGGUGUGACUGCGUACCUUUUGUAUAAUGGGUCAGCGACUUAUAUUCUGUAGCAAGGUUAACCGUAUAGGGGAGCCGCAGGGAAACCGAGUCUUAACUGGGCGUUAAGUUGCAGGGUAUAGACCCGAAACCCGGUGAUCUAGCCAUGGGCAGGUUGAAGGUUGGGUAACACUAACUGGAGGACCGAACCGACUAAUGUUGAAAAAUUAGCGGAUGACUUGUGGCUGGGGGUGAAAGGCCAAUCAAACCGGGAGAUAGCUGGUUCUCCCCGAAAGCUAUUUAGGUAGCGCCUCGUGAAUUCAUCUUCGGGGGUAGAGCACUGUUUCGGCUAGGGGGUCAUCCCGACUUACCAACCCGAUGCAAACUACGAAUACCGAAGAAUGUUAUCACGGGAGACACACGGCGGGUGCUAACGUCCGUCGUGAAGAGGGAAACAACCCAGACCGCCAGCUAAGGUCCCAAAGUCAUGGUUAAGUGGGAAACGAUGUGGGAAGGCACAGACAGCCAGGAUGUUGGCUUAGAAGCAGCCAUCAUUUAAAGAAAGCGUAAUAGCUCACUGGUCGAGUCGGCCUGCGCGGAAGAUGUAACGGGGCUAAACCAUGCACCGAAGCUGCGGCAGCGACACUAUGUGUUGUUGGGUAGGGGAGCGUUCUGUAAGCCUGCGAAGGUGACCUGUGAGGGUUGCUGGAGGUAUCAGAAGUGCGAAUGCUGACAUAAGUAACGAUAAAGCGGGUGAAAAGCCCGCUCGCCGGAAGACCAAGGGUUCCUGUCCAACGUUAAUCGGGGCAGGGUGAGUCGACCCCUAAGGCGAGGCCGAAAGGCGUAGUCGAUGGGAAACAGGUUAAUAUUCCUGUACUUGGUGUUACUGCGAAGGGGGGACGGAGAAGGCUAUGUUAGCCGGGCGACGGUUGUCCCGGUUUAAGCAUGUAGGCUGGUUAUCCAGGCAAAUCCGGAUAAUCAAGGCUGAGGUGUGAUGACGAGGCACUACGGUGCUGAAGUAACAAAUGCCCUGCUUCCAGGAAAAGCCUCUAAGCAUCAGGUAACAUUAAAUCGUACCCCAAACCGACACAGGUGGUCAGGUAGAGAAUACCAAGGCGCUUGAGAGAACUCGGGUGAAGGAACUAGGCAAAAUGGUGCCGUAACUUCGGGAGAAGGCACGCUGGUGUGUAGGUGAAGUCCCUGCGGAUGGAGCUGAGACCAGUCGAAGAUACCAGCUGGCUGCAACUGUUUAUUAAAAACACAGCACUGUGCAAACACGAAAGUGGACGUAUACGGUGUGACGCCUGCCCGGUGCCGGAAGGUUAAUUGAUGGGGUUAUCCGUAAGGAGAAGCUCUUGAUCGAAGCCCCGGUAAACGGCGGCCGUAACUAUAACGGUCCUAAGGUAGCGAAAUUCCUUGUCGGGUAAGUUCCGACCUGCACGAAUGGCGUAAUGAUGGCCAGGCUGUCUCCACCCGAGACUCAGUGAAAUUGAACUCGCUGUGAAGAUGCAGUGUACCCGCGGCAAGACGGAAAGACCCCGUGAACCUUUACUAUAGCUUGACACUGAACAUUGAGCCUUGAUGUGUAGGAUAGGUGGGAGGCUUUGAAGCGUGGACGCCAGUCUGCGUGGAGCCAACCUUGAAAUACCACCCUUUAAUGUUUGAUGUUCUAACGUUGGCCCCUGACCGGGGUUGCGGACAGUGUCUGGUGGGUAGUUUGACUGGGGCGGUCUCCUCCCAAAGCGUAACGGAGGAGCACGAAGGUUAGCUAAUCCUGGUCGGACAUCAGGAGGUUAGUGCAAUGGCAUAAGCUAGCUUGACUGCGAGCGUGACGGCGCGAGCAGGUGCGAAAGCAGGUCAUAGUGAUCCGGUGGUUCUGAAUGGAAGGGCCAUCGCUCAACGGAUAAAAGGUACUCCGGGGAUAACAGGCUGAUACCGCCCAAGAGUUCAUAUCGACGGCGGUGUUUGGCACCUCGAUGUCGGCUCAUCACAUCCUGGGGCUGAAGUAGGUCCCAAGGGUAUGGCUGUUCGCCAUUUAAAGUGGUACGCGAGCUGGGUUUAGAACGUCGUGAGACAGUUCGGUCCCUAUCUGCCGUGGGCGCUGGAGAAUUGAGGGGGGCUGCUCCUAGUACGAGAGGACCGGAGUGGACGCAUCACUGGUGUUCGGGUUGUCAUGCCAAUGGCACUGCCCGGUAGCUAAAUGCGGAAGAGAUAAGUGCUGAAAGCAUCUAAGCACGAAACUUGCCCCGAGAUGAGUUCUCCCUGAGACUUUAAGUCUCCUGAAGGAACGUUAAAGACGAUGACGUUGAUAGGCCGGGUGUGUAAGCGCAGCGAUGCGUUGAGCUAACCGGUACUAAUGAACCGUGAGGCUUAACCUUACAACGCCGAAG